AGCCCUGAAGUAGCUAAUACGUUGGAUUGCAAAUCCAAAAAUGGAAACUAAGUUCUCCCGGGGCUU
This 66-nucleotide transfer RNA is filed under the name Parmaturus melanobranchus. Its description in RNAcentral is "tRNA-Cys". Lineage: Eukaryota; Metazoa; Chordata; Chondrichthyes; Carcharhiniformes; Scyliorhinidae. The record is from RNAcentral.